RNAcentral lists this ribosomal RNA (490 nucleotides) under uncultured bacterium. RNAcentral's name for it is "partial 16S ribosomal RNA". It matches the Rfam family "Bacterial small subunit ribosomal RNA", at positions 30 to 507 of the family's 1533-position model. The record is from RNAcentral.
AUUGAACGCUGGCGGCAGGCCUAACACAUGCAAGUCGAACGGUAACAGGAAACAGCUUGCUGUUUCGCUGACGAGUGGCGGACGGGUGAGUAAUGUCUGGGAAACUGCCUGAUGGAGGGGGAUAACUACUGGAAACGGUAGCUAAUACCGCGUAACGUCGCAAGACCAAAGAGGGGGACCUUCGGGCCUCUUGCCAUCGGAUGUGCCCAGAUGGGAUUAGCUAGUAGGUGGGGUAACGGCUCACCUAGGCGACGAUCCCUAGCUGGUCUGAGAGGAUGACCAGCCACACUGGAACUGAGACACGGUCCAGACUCCUACGGGAGGCAGCAGUGGGGAAUAUUGCACAAUGGGCGCAAGCCUGAUGCAGCCAUGCCGCGUGUAUGAAGAAGGCCUUCGGGUUGUAAAGUACUUUCAGCGGGGAUGAAGGGAGUAAAGUUAAUACCUUUGCUCAUUGACGUUACCCGCAGAAGAAGCACCGGCUAACUCCGUG